This 6189-nucleotide long non-coding RNA is filed under the name Gallus gallus (chicken). Its description in RNAcentral is "lncRNA (ENSGALG00010000375.1)". Lineage: Eukaryota; Metazoa; Chordata; Aves; Galliformes; Phasianidae. The record is from RNAcentral.
GGAUGAUGGGAGCGGGCGGCGCUGCCCCCACCCCAAAACGGAGCUGACAACGGAGGCUGAGUCGGCACCUGGACUUCAGAAUGGGGACCCUAAAAUCAGCGCCGUGACUGUGAGGCUGGGACCCCAAAACUGGAGGUGGGACCCCAAAACCAGCAGCAGGAUUCUGGAAUUGGAUCCCGAAACUGGAAUUGGGAGCUUGGAAUUGAGACCCCAAAAACAGCAACGGGACCCCCAAACUGGGACCCCAAUAUCAGCACCGGGACCCCAAAACUGAGACCAGGACCUUGUAAGUGGGACCCCAAAAUCAGCAGCAGGACCUGGAAAUUGGACCCCAAUAUCAGCACCGGGACCCCAAAACUGAGACCAGGACCUUGUAAGUGGGACCCCAAAAUCAGCACCAGGACCUGGAAAUUGGACCCCAAUAUCAGCACCGGGACCCCAAAACCGAGACCAAGACCUUAAAGUGGGACCCCAAAAUCUACCCUGGGACCCCAAAAGCAGACCCAUGACGAUGUAAUCAGCAUCAAGGACCCCAAAAUCUGGCACUGGGACCCCAAAUUUCACCACUUGGACCCAAAAAUUAGCAUUGGGGACCCCAAAAUCCGGCACUGAGACCCCAAAUUUCAGCACUCGGACUCCAAACCCAACACCAAGACCCCAAAUUCCAGCACUGGGACCCCAAAUUUCACCACUUGGACCCCAAAAAUCAGCAUUGGAGACCCCCAAAUCCGGCACUGGGACCCCAGAUUUCACCACUUGGACCCAAAAAUCAGCAUUGGGGACCCCAAAAUCCAGCUCUGGGACCCCAAAUUUCAGCACUUGGACUCCAAACCCAACACCAAGACCCCAAAUUCCGUCACUGGGACCCCAAAUUUCACCACUUGGACCCAAAAAUCAACAUUGGGGACCCCAAAAUCCGGCACUGAGACCCCAAAACCAGGACCCAGGACCCAUGGCUGAGGGGUGUCCCCUCCCUGGGGAGGUGACAGAGGGGGACAGCGGUGUCCCCAAAGGGGACGUCGAUGUCCCCGAGGUCACCGUCACUCCUUGGGCCAGCGGCAUCACCAUCACUGUGACGGUGGCACCGGCGGAUGAGGACAUCGAGGACAUUUGGGACAUUGGGGACACCGAGGACGUUGGGGACAUUGGGGACACCGCUGAGGACAUUGGGGGUGCGGAUGUGGGGCGCGGGGACGUCCCCGUUCCACGUGACAGAGAUGUCCCAACCCUGAAGGGUUUUGGGGACGGGGAUGGCAUUGAUGUCACAGCCCUAAAGGACACUGAGGUGACAGAGGUGGUGACACCAAGGGGUGUUGGGGACAGGGAUGUCCCAACCCCGGGGGAUAUGGGGGGCAGGGAUGUCUCCAUCUAUGGGGACAAGGAUGUCCCGGUCCACGAGGAUGAGGGUGACGGGGACAGGGAUGUCAUAGGUGUAUGGGAUGAUGGGGACAAGGGCUUUGGGGACGGGAAUGCCACCACCCCAAGGGACGAAGUUUGGGAUGUCCCCGUUCCCAGUAUGGAGAAGGGCAGUGGGAAUGGGGGUGUCUUGGCUGCUGGAGACGAGGACAUUGGGGACAUCCCAACCGUAAGGGACAUUGGGGACAUCCCAACCGUAAGGGACAUUGGGGACAUCCCAACCGUAAGGGACAUUGGGGACAAGGAUGUCACAACCCCUAAGGACGAGGACACCAAGGAAAAGCCUGUCCCAACCAUGGGGGAUGAGGACUUUGGGGGCGAGGGUGGUGGGGACAGGGAUGUCCCGUCCCCAGUGGGCUUUGGGGACAAGGACACUGGGGACAAGGAUGUCCCAUCCCCUAAUGGCAUUGGGGACAAGGAUAUUGGGGACAAGGACAUUGGAGAGAAGGGUGUCCCAUCCCCCAUGGGCUUUGGGGACAAGGACUUUGGGGACAAGGAUGUCCCAUCCCCCAUGGACUUUGGGGACAAGGACGUCCCAUAUCUCAUGGGCAUUGGGGACAAGGACAUUGGGGACAAGGACUUUGGGGACAAGGAAGUCCCAUCCCCUAUUGGCUUUGGGGACAAGGAUGCUGGGGACAAGGAUGUCCCAUCUGUCACAGGCUUUGGGGACAAGGACUUUGGGGACAAGGGUGUUCCAUCCCCUCUGGGCUUUGGGGACAAGGUCUUUGGGGACAAGGAUGUUGGGGACAAGGAUGUCCCAUCCCCUAAUGGCAUUGGGGGCAAGGAUGUUGGGGAGAAGGAAGUCCCAUCCCCUAUCGGCUUUGGGGACAAGGACGUCCCAUCCCCCAUGGGCUUUGGGGACAACGACAUUGGGGACAAGGAAGUCCCAUCUGUCACGGGCUUUGGGGACAAGGAUGUUGGGGACAAGGAUGUCCCACCCCCUAAGGCCUUUGGGGACAAGGACAUUGGGGACAAGGACUUUGGGGACAAGGACGUGCCAUCCCCCAUGGGCUUUGGGGACAAGGAAGUCCCAUCUGUCACGGGCUUUGGGGACAAGGACUUUGGGGACAAGGAUGUCCCAUCCCCCAUGGGCUUUGGGGACAAGGACGUCCCACCCCCUAAGGCCAUUGGGGACAAGGACAUUGGGGACAAGGACUUUGGGGGCAAGGAUGUCCCAUCCCCUAUGGGCUUUGCGGACGAGGACAAUGGGGACAAGGAUGUCCCAUCCCCUCUGGGCUUUGGGGACAAGGACUUUGGGGAGAAGGAUGUCCCAUCCCCUAUCGGCUUUGGGGACAAGGAUGUUGGGGACAAGGACAUCCCACCCCCUAAGGCCUUUGGGGACAAGGACUUUAGGGACAUGAAUGUCCCAUCCCCUAUCGGCUUUGGGGACAAGGACGCUGGGGACAAGGAUGUCCCACCCCCUAAGGCCUUUGGGGACAAGGACUUUGGGGACAAGGAUGUUGGGGACAAGGAUGUCCCAUCCCCCAUGGGCUUUGGGGACAAGGACGUCCCAUCCCCUCUGGGCUUUGGGGACAAGGACUUUGGGGACAAGGAUGUCCCAUCCCCCAUGGGCUUUGGGGACAAGGACGUCCCAUCCCCUAAGGCCUUUGGGGACAAGGACGUUGGGGACAAGGACAUCCCACCCCCUAAGGCCUUUGGGGACAAGGACUUUAGGGACAUGAAUGUCCCAUCCCCUAUCGGCUUUGGGGACAAGGAUGCUGGGGACAAGGAUGUCCCACCCCCUAAGGCCUUUGGGGACAAGGACAAUGGGGACAUCCCAACCCCAGGAGAUGUUUGGGAUGAGGAGGUUGGGGACAUCCAGGUCCCAACCCUAAGGGACUUUGGGGACAGAGAGUUUGGGGACAGAGAGUUUGGGGACAAAGAGUUUGGGGACAAAGAGAUUGGGGACAAAGAGAUUGGGGACAGGGAUGUUGGGGACAAAGAGAUUGGGGACAAAGAGUUUGGGGACAAAGAGUUUGGGGACAAAGAGAUUGGGGACAAAGAGUUUGGGGACAAAGAGUUUGGGGCCGAGGCCAUCUCAGCCCCGCAGGACUUGGGGGGCAGGGAUGUCCCCCCCCGAGGGGACAUUGGGGUCGUGCCCCACGGGGACGGGGACAUCCCGGCCUUUGGGGUCAGCGAGGAUGGCCGUGGGGACACGGUUGGGGACAUGGGGGGCGUGGAUGUCACCGCCCGGGGGGGUGAUGGGGACAGAGAGGGGACGUCGGGAAGGGUUGGGGGCGUUGAGGGCGCGCGCGGUGCCGGUGACGUCAUCACCAUCACGGUGACGGCCCCGCCGCUGGAGGACGGCCCCGGCGACGAUGACGUCAUCGCUGACGCCAUUGCCGCCCAACCGCGCGGUGUCGCGGGGGGGCGGCGACGUCACAGCUGCGCUUCCCGGUGACGUCAGCCCUGAGGGCGACGUCACCUCGGCGGUGGCGGGGGGUGACGUCGUGGCCGAGCUCGUCGACGGCGAUGACGUCACUUCCUUUCUCCCCGGAGGAGAGCCCGGUGGUGACGUCAUGGCUGCGGGUGAUGUCACUCCCCACCUCCCUGAGGGUGAGCGCAUGGGUGGUGCCGUGCCCGGGAGUGACAUCGAUGAUGACAUCAUCAGUGGAGAUGACGUCAUCUGCUCCCUCCCCAGAGGUGACCAGGCUGAUGGUGUUGUCCCUGGUGGUGAUGUCACUGAUGACGUCACCACGGAUGAAACGGUCGCUUCUUUCCAUGGGGACGACCACGCCCAUGAUGUCAUCCCUGGAGGUGACAUCACUGAUGAUGUCAUCACGGAUGAAACGGUCGCUUCUUUCCAUGGGGACACCCGCACCAAUGAUGUCAGCCACGGGCGUGACAUCAUUGAUGACGUCACGAUGGGUGAAACCAUCUCUUCUUUCCACGAGGGCGUCCACGCUGAUGACGUCACUCACAGAUACGACAUCACUGAUGACAUCACCCAUGGAUAUGACAUCACAGAUGAUGUAAUCAAUUGGGGUGACGUCACUGAUGACGUCAUUAUGAGCGAGGCCAUCACCUCUGCAGGCAGGGAUGUCCAUAUUGGUGACGUCAUCCACGGGGCUGACCUCACUGAUGACAUCACCUACUUGGCUGACCUCACUGAUGACGUCAUCACGGAUGAAACCAUCACUCCUUACCAUGGGGAGAUGGGCGGUGAUGACCUCAUCCACGGAGGUGACCUCAUCGAUGACGUCACCCUUGGAGGCGACCCUGGUGAUGAUGUCACACCCGGUGCUGACAUCACAGCCGCAAGUCCGGGCCGUGAUGUCACACCUGAGCACGAUGACAUCACCCCAAAGGAUGACGUCAUCAGUGACACCAUCAGCCCCGCAGAGGAGCAACCGCUGUGCCCGCGCCGUGACAUCACCGAUGACGUCAUCGCCCACGUGGGGCCCAGGAGGGGCGGAGCUACAGCCGCCCCCCAGCCCCAGACGAACCCCCCCGGCUGCCCCCUCGUCUUCCUCGGCCUCCUCUGCCUCCUCCUCAUCCUCCUCCUCCUCGCCGGCGUCUUUGCGGCGGUGCAUUACGUCAAAGUGUUCCUCAUCAGCUCCGUUCCGAUGGACCCCCCCCCCCCACCCCCAUGAGCCUCUAUGGGUUGGGGGGGGGGCACUGAUGUCACCUUGGGGGGGGGGGGGGGGGACACAGCUGACCCCCCCCCCCUCCCCCAUGAGCCUCUAUGGGGAGGGGGGGACACAGCGAUGUCACCUUAAGGGGGGGGACACACAUCUGACCCCCCCCCAAUGAGCCUCUAUGGGUGGGGGGGGGGCAUCGAUGUCACCUUGGGGGGGGGGACGGACACCUGACCCCCCCCCAAUGAGCCUCUAUGGGUGGGGGGGAACACAACUGAACCCUCCCCCCCCCCCCCACAAUGAGCCUCUAUGGGUGGAGGGGGGGCACCGAUGUCACCUUGGGGGGGGGCACACCUGACCCCCCCCCCACGAGCCUCUAUGGGUGGGGGGGGACAUCGAUGUCACCUUGGGAGGGGGGGACACACACCUAACCCCCCCCCCAAUGAGCCUCUAUGGGUGGGGGGAACACAUAUCACCCUCCCCCCCCACCCCAAUGAGCCUCUAUGGGUGGGGGGGUGACACCAAUGUCACCUUGGGGGGGGGGGACACACCUAAGCCCCCCCCCAUGAGCCUCUAUGGGUGGGGGGGGACAUCGAUGUCACCUAGCGGGGGGGGGGAAACACACCUGACCCCCCUCCAUGAGCCUCUAUGGGUGGGGGGGGCACCGAUGUGACCUUGAGGGGGGGGGACACACACCUGACCCCCUCCCCCCCCCCCAGUGAGCCUCUAUGGGUGGGGGGGGGGACAUCGGUGUCACCUUGGGGGGGGGGGGGGGGGGACACCUGACCCCCCCCCAUGAGCCUCUAUGGGUGGGGGGAACACAUAUCACCCCCCCCCCCCCACCCCAAUGAGCCUCUAUGGGUUGGGGGGGGGACAUCGGUGUCACCUUGAGGGGGGGGACACACCUAAGCCCCCCCCCCAAUGAACCUCUAUAGGUGGGGGGGGGACAUCGAUGUCACCUUGGGGGGGGGGGGGAAACACACCUGACCCCCCCAAUGAGCCUCUAUGGAUUGGGGGGGGGGACACACCUGACCCCCCCCCUCCAUGAGCCUCUAUGGGGGGGGACGACACAGCUGACCCCCCCACCACCACCCCAAUGAGCCUCUAUGGGUGGAGGGGGGGACAUCGAUGUCACCUUGGGGGGGGGGGACACACCUGACCGCCCCCCCCCCCCCCCCCAAUAAAUCAGUAAGGC